RNAcentral lists this ribosomal RNA (449 nucleotides) under uncultured bacterium. RNAcentral describes it as "partial 16S ribosomal RNA". It matches the Rfam family "Bacterial small subunit ribosomal RNA", at positions 29 to 523 of the family's 1533-position model. The record is from RNAcentral.
AACGAACGCUGGCGGCAGGCUUAACACAUGCAAGUCGAACGAUAUCUUCGGAUCUAGUGGCAGACGGGUGAGGAACACGUGGGAACAUCCCUUUCAGUUCGGAAUAACGUAGGGAAACUAACGCUAAUACCGGAUACGUCCUUCGGGAGAAAGAUUUAUCGCUGAAAGAUUGGCCCGCGUCUGAUUAGCUAGUUGGUGAGGUAAUGGCUCACCAAGGCUACGAUCAGUAGCUGAUCUGAGAGGAUGAUCAGCCACAUUGGGACUGAGACACGGCCCAAACUCCUACGGGAGGCAGCAGUGGGGAAUAUUGGACAAUGGGCGCAAGCCUGAUCCAGCCAUGCCGCGUGAGUGAUGACGGCCUUCGGGUUGUAAAGCUCUUUUGUCCGGGAAGAUAAUGACUGUACCGGAAGAAUAAGCCCCGGCAAACUUCGUGCCAGCCGCCGCAGUAA